RNAcentral lists this ribosomal RNA (355 nucleotides) under uncultured bacterium. RNAcentral describes it as "bacterial SSU rRNA". It matches the Rfam family "Bacterial small subunit ribosomal RNA", at positions 29 to 412 of the family's 1533-position model. The record is from RNAcentral.
AACGAACGCUGGCGGCAGGCCUAACACAUGCAAAGUCGAACGCCCCGCAAGGGGAGUGGCAGACGGGUGAGUAACACGUGGGAACGUACCCUUCGGUUCGGGAUAACUCAGGGAAACUUGAGCUAAUACCGGAUACGUCCGAGAGGAGAAAGAUUUAUCGCCGAGGGAUCGGCCCGCGUCUGAUUAGCCUGUUGGUGAGGUAACGGCUCACCAAGGCGACGAUCAGUAGCUGGUCUGAGAGGAUGAUCAGCCACAUUGGGACUGAGACACGGCCCAAACUCCUACGGGAGGCAGCAGUGGGAAUAUUGGACAAGUGGGCGCAAGCCUGAUCCAGCCAUGCCGCGUGAGUGAUGAA